CCCCUAGACGUUCUGGGCUGCACGCGCGCUACAAUAAUACGCACAGCGAGUAUCACCGAGCUCGAAAGGGCAAGGUAAACAAUAGAAAAGGUACUGUAAUGGUUAUAGAUCCUUGUAAUUAUUGAUCUUCAACGAGGAAUUCCUAGUAAGUAUGUGUCAUCAUCACGCACUGAUUACGUCCCUGCCCUUUGUACACACCGCCCGUCGCUCCUACCGAUUGAUUGAUCCGGUGAAUUACAUAGAAUUUUGCGUUUUACAUGACGGAAGAUGAAGUGUUUUAAACCUUAUCAUUUAGAGGAAGGAGAAGUCGUAACA
RNAcentral lists this ribosomal RNA (315 nucleotides) under uncultured eukaryote. Its description in RNAcentral is "partial 18S ribosomal RNA". It matches the Rfam family "Eukaryotic small subunit ribosomal RNA", at positions 1470 to 1796 of the family's 1831-position model. The record is from RNAcentral.